CGACGGCGGGCGGCGGGCGGCGGGGGCCUCGGUCUCCCUGGGGCGCGCGACCCCUGGCGUCGGGUCCCAGACAGAAAUCGACUUCAGCCCCUGAGCAAAUUGUGUGGAAGCAACAUGUGUCCACUGCCAACUAUUGUGCCUAGUGCUUUUUCAAGAAAUUAUGUCAUUGGAUUCUCACAGCUACUUGACACUUAAAACUGCCUUGCCCUUUGGAACCAGGCCGAGCUGGGAUGUCUGAAACUCAACCCUGCCAUUUACUUUUUGUAGGUCCUUGGGUGGAAGAACCUGACUGGUGCUUCAGCUGUUAAAUGAGUGGAAAGAAAUCUUUACGAUGUGGAACCCUAUCUGGCUCGAGAGUAGUAACUUUGUAUCUACCCAUGCUCACUAGCUCCUAUAAACCAGCUGUGGGCAUCUUUUACUGCUUCUGAAACGGUUGCCUUAGUGACUUUUAAAACAGGAAUUUGUUAAGAUUCACGGUGGAUAAAACGUUGACAAUUAGUUGUGUCCAAGAAGAAACAAGGUAAACAUUUCAUUUGCACGAGUACACAAGAAGUCGGCUGCAUAGGAAGCAAAGCACAGAGGAUGGCCUUGUGUUAGCCAGGGACUGCUUAUUGAGUAAUAUGUUCACUGUCUCCUAUCCAGCCAGUGACAGGAAUAAAAAAUUCAUAGCCCUUAUCUUCAGUGCCUUUGCUUUGUAAGCCAAAGGCAAAACAUAAACACAUAAUAAGCAGCCUAAAGUAGACACAAGUCAGGUGUAUAGGAGCGGAAAGGAAAAUACGUUAUGAACAAGGCAAGGCUCACUGAGGGGAACAGGACAUCGGAGAGGUAAACAGUGAAAAACUAUCAAUCCUACAGUUGGCAGUAUCUUCCAAAGAUAAAACCCUGAAAGCCAGAAAUGCAUUCUUUUUACAUGUAUGUGUGAAUUCCUACAUGUCUGUGUAGCACGUGUGCCAGUGCCUGUGGAGGCCAGCCCGGAGCUGGAGUUCCAGGCAAUUUUGUGCUACCCAGUGUGGGUGCUGGGAACCAAACCGAGGUCCUCUGUAAGAGCAGCCGGUGCCUUUAACAACCGAGCCAUCUCUCCAGCCCCCAGAAAUAUGUUUCUAAGCUUUAAAAAUCGUGUGUAGGGGGCUGGAGAGAUGGCUUAGAGGUUAAGAGCACUGGCUGCUCUUCCAGAGUUCGUGAGUUCAAUUCCCAGCAACCACAUGGUGGGUGGCUCACAGUCAUCUAUACCAGCAAGAUGGUUCUUUGGGAGAAGGCACCUGCCAAGGCUGACAACAUGAGUUCCAUCCUUAGGACUCACAUGCUCCUAGUUAACUUUUUAAGUACUUUCCAAACUCCCAAGUGUGCCAAUGUUAGUUCAUCAAUUCUCAGCUCUUUGUAUUCCAGGGCAAGGGAUUCAUUUCACUCUGACCAUUUGUCCUUUUUUCCUUCUAUACAGUGAACAUUUUAAUUCUAGCUUCAAAACUGUUACCGUUUCUGUGACUGACACAAUUUCUAAUUUCUAAUUCAUGCCUAUCUACCGUCAUGUUUUCCCGAGGUUUUCUUAGGACAUACUCAGAAAAUAACUGCAUUGAAAUAUCACCUAUUAGCCGGGCGUUGGUGGCGCACGCCUGUAAUCCCAGCACUCGGGAGGCAGAGGCAGGCGGAUCUCUGUGAGUUCGAGGCCGGGCUGGACUGAUAGCCUCCAAAACAAUACAGAGAAACCCUGUCUCGAAAAACCAAAAAAAAAAAAAAAAAAGAAAAAGAAAUAUCACCUAUUAUUUUCCUAUUGGCAAAAACUGCCUUUCAUGGACCAGUGUAGUGAAGAAAGAAAAUUCAGUGUUUGUUUUUAAGUACUUGUUGAGCUCAAAGUUGCCAAAAACUAAUUCUUUGUUUCUUUGUCCUUAGUUCAAAAUUCUAGGUUUCCUGAGCAGUGUUUUAAUCUUGUUUGGCUUGGCUAAUUUCUGUUGCAGUUAAGUUCCUACCACCUCAAAAAUUUUUUUAAUCCCACUUUAGAAAACAAUUGUAGGAAAUUAUAAUCUUAAUCAUCACAAAGCCUAUACUGUGAGUUCAUGAAAAUAAAAAUUAGCAUCCAGCCUCCUCCCUUCCCCCCACCCUCUGCCCAAACUGGUGUCCCAUCCAUCAGCAUGAGACAGGACACUCCACUAGCAAUUUAGGGGAUAUGCUGAGGCAUGUGACCACUCUAAGCAUUUUCACUAUUAUAGUUCUUUUAAAAGUUUUAAACUCUGGACCUGGUGGGGAGGCUCAGUGGUAGGUUGCUUGCCUAGUGUGCACAAACCCUGGGUUCAUCCCCAGCCCUGAAAACCUGUCCUUAAUUCAUUAAUAAUAAUAAUAAUAAUAAUAAUAAUAAUAAACUAGAGAGAUAAAAGCAAAAUCAUGAUGGCCCCAUUCAAACAAAUGGCCAUUCUGCAUACUGCAGGAAUCCUUCUAAGGAUGCUAUUUGUAGCUGAUUGGAUGCCAGUGUCACAGGCAGGUCACGGGAGACUAGAAGGCUCUCCACAGGAGUCUCUUUCAAGAGCCCUAAUAUUAAAGCUCUUAGUUGGUGACAGCUUCUCACUUUGUAGCCCAGGUUGAUCUCCAACUUGUGAUCUUCCUGCCUCUCCUCCCAAAUGUUGGAACUCCUUUUAUACUACCAUUCUGUGCUUUUUUGUUAGUUGUUAUCGUUUUGAAGACAAGGUCUCUCCUGGCCUGGAACUCACAGAUCCUCCUGUCUUUGCUUCUCCAGUGCUAGGACUAAAUAUGUAGCUACCACUCGAGGCUCUCAAUACCUGGAUCUUCCAUACUUAAACUGACCCCCAUUGAUUAAGAAAUACUUUUUUAUUUUUUGAAGAUUUCUUUAUUUUUGUGUUUGAGUAUUUUGCCUGCAAGUAUAAUGAAUUCGCUGUUGUUUAAAUGAGAUUCCCUAUUUUAAAAAUAAAAAGCUGUAUUGAGAAUGAACAUGAUGCAGACCAAUAAAAUGUGAACUCUCUCCUCCUCCCCCA
Molecule: RNA transcript, 2981 nt
Organism: Mesocricetus auratus (golden hamster)
Lineage: Eukaryota; Metazoa; Chordata; Mammalia; Rodentia; Cricetidae
Exons: 2
Source: RefSeq, a predicted model, not a curated record